Molecule: transfer RNA, 73 nt
Filed under: Podarcis lilfordi (Lilford's wall lizard)
Lineage: Eukaryota; Metazoa; Chordata; Lepidosauria; Squamata; Lacertidae
Rfam family: tRNA
About the family: Transfer RNA (tRNA) molecules are approximately 80 nucleotides in length. Their secondary structure includes four short double-helical elements and three loops (D, anti-codon, and T loops). Further hydrogen bonds mediate the characteristic L-shaped molecular structure. tRNAs have two regions of fundamental functional importance: the anti-codon, which is responsible for specific mRNA codon recognition, and the 3' end, to which the tRNAs corresponding amino acid is attached (by aminoacyl-tRNA synthetases). tRNAs cope with the degeneracy of the genetic code in two manners: having more than one tRNA (with a specific anti-codon) for a particular amino acid; and 'wobble' base-pairing, i.e. permitting non-standard base-pairing at the 3rd anti-codon position.
Source: Rfam by way of RNAcentral
UCCCAUUUUGCUCAGUCGGUAGAGCAUGAGACUCUUAAUCUCAGGGUCCUGGGUUUGAGCCUCACAUUGGGCA